UUAAUUUGUAUUUGUGAUGAAUAUUUAGAGUAGGAAUCUCAAUGAGCUUCAGUCAUUCGUUGCUAUGAAAGCAAAUCUCUAACUGAUAAAAGUCGU
This is a small nucleolar RNA of Scaptodrosophila lebanonensis, 96 nucleotides long. RefSeq annotates it as small nucleolar RNA Me28S-Am2634. Lineage: Eukaryota; Metazoa; Arthropoda; Insecta; Diptera; Drosophilidae. The record is from RefSeq and is a predicted model, not a curated record. The transcript has a single exon.